This 159-nucleotide unclassified non-coding RNA is filed under the name uncultured fungus. RNAcentral's name for it is "sequence contains ITS1, 5.8S rRNA gene". The record is from RNAcentral. Lineage: Eukaryota; Fungi.
CCGAGUGAGGGGGCCCCGCGCCCCCGACCUCCCAACCCUUUGUUUCAACCAACUCUGUUGCCUCGGGGGGCGACCCGGCCGUCCGACGUCGGACGCCCCCCAGAGGAUCAAUCAAACAACCUGCAUCUUUGCGUCGGAGUAUUGAAAGCAAAUCAAUCA